This 242-nucleotide small RNA is filed under the name Microcebus murinus (gray mouse lemur). RNAcentral describes it as "7SK RNA (ENSMICG00000024388.3)". The stretch from base 1 to 186 matches the Rfam family "7SK RNA". Rfam says of the family: 7SK was discovered as an abundant small nuclear RNA in the mid-70s but a possible function has only recently been suggested. The record is from RNAcentral. Lineage: Eukaryota; Metazoa; Chordata; Mammalia; Primates; Cheirogaleidae.
GGAUGUAAGGGUGAUCUGGCUGCGAUAUCUGUCACUCCAUUGAUCACCAGGGUUGAUUUGGCUGACCUGGCUGGCUAGGCAGGUGUCCCCUUCCUCCCUCACUGCUUCAUGUGUGUCCCUCCUGAAGCUGUGUACUGGGUCAAAGAGGAUGACUUUCCUGGAUAAAAAGGGGUACAGGUCUAAAAGGAUUAUUUAUUCUAUUGAUACCUUUAGUGAAUAACCAUAAUGGUUCUGUUUCUCCU